UAACCUGCCUGUAAGACUGGGAUAACUCCGGGAAACCGGGGCUAAUACCGGAUGGUUGUCUGAACCGCAUGGUUCAGACAUAAAAGGUGGCUUCGGCUACCACUUACAGAUGGACCCGCGGCGCAUUAGCUAGUUGGUGAGGUAACGGCUCACCAAGGCGACGAUGCGUAGCCGACCUGAGAGGGUGAUCGGCCACACUGGGACUGAGACACGGCCCAGACUCCUACGGGAGGCAGCAGUAGGGAAUCUUCCGCAAUGGACGAAAGUCUGACGGAGCAACGCCGCGUGAGUGAUGAAGGUUUUCGGAUCGUAAAGCUCUGUUGUUAGGGAAGAACAAGUGCCGUUCAAAUAGGGCGGCACCUUGACGGUACCUAACCAGAAAGCCACGGCUAACUACGUGCCAGCAGCCGCGGUAAUACGUAGGUGGCAAGCGUUGUCCGGAAUUAUUGGGCGUAAAGGGCUCGCAGGCGGUUUCUUAAGUCUGAUGUGAAAGCCCCCGG
This 500-nucleotide ribosomal RNA is filed under the name Bacillus amyloliquefaciens. Its description in RNAcentral is "bacterial SSU rRNA". It matches the Rfam family "Bacterial small subunit ribosomal RNA", at positions 122 to 607 of the family's 1533-position model. The record is from RNAcentral. Lineage: Bacteria; Bacillati; Bacillota; Bacilli; Caryophanales; Bacillaceae.